Molecule: ribosomal RNA, 755 nt
Filed under: Roseovarius pacificus
Lineage: Bacteria; Pseudomonadati; Pseudomonadota; Alphaproteobacteria; Rhodobacterales; Roseobacteraceae
Description: bacterial SSU rRNA
Rfam family: Bacterial small subunit ribosomal RNA
Source: RNAcentral
AUGCAGUCGAACGAAGCCUUCGGGCUUAGUGGCGGACGGGUUAGUAACGCGUGGGAACGUGCCUUUCACUACGGAAUAGUCCCGGGAAACUGGGUUUAAUACCGUAUACGCCCUUCGGGGGAAAGAAUUUCGGUGAAAGAUCGGCCCGCGUUAGAUUAGGUAGUUGGUGGGGUAAUGGCCUACCAAGCCUACGAUCUAUAGCUGGUUUUAGAGGAUGAUCAGCAACACUGGGACUGAGACACGGCCCAGACUCCUACGGGAGGCAGCAGUGGGGAAUCUUGGACAAUGGGCGCAAGCCUGAUCCAGCCAUGCCGCGUGAGUGAUGAAGGCCUUAGGGUCGUAAAGCUCUUUCGCCAGGGAUGAUAAUGACAGUACCUGGUAAAGAAACCCCGGCUAACUCCGUGCCAGCAGCCGCGGUAAUACGGAGGGGGUUAGCGUUGUUCGGAAUUACUGGGCGUAAAGCGCGCGUAGGCGGAUCGGAAAGUUGGGGGUGAAAUCCCGGGGCUCAACCCCGGAACUGCCUCCAAAACUAUCGGUCUAGAGUUCGAGAGAGGUGAGUGGAAUUCCGAGUGUAGAGGUGAAAUUCGUAGAUAUUCGGAGGAACACCAGUGGCGAAGGCGGCUCACUGGCUCGAUACUGACGCUGAGGUGCGAAAGUGUGGGGAGCAAACAGGAUUAGAUACCCUGGUAGUCCACACCGUAAACGAUGAAUGCCAGUCGUCGGGCAGUAUACUGUUCGGUGACACACCUAACGGA